Molecule: long non-coding RNA, 6705 nt
Filed under: Gossypium barbadense (sea-island cotton)
Lineage: Eukaryota; Viridiplantae; Streptophyta; Magnoliopsida; Malvales; Malvaceae
Description: long non-coding RNA (GBAR_LNC011488)
Source: RNAcentral
UUUUAACUUCUGUUAAACAAUAAAAAAAAAGUUUGAGACAAAUAAGGAAGAAGGAACGAGGUUAAAACUAGAUACAAAAUUUUAUAUAAAAAUAUAUGAAUUUGCACCUAAAAUCCAUGGAGCACAUAUAGAAGCAGGUAAAUGGGGCAAAGGAAAUCUUCUUCCCCUCUCUUUUUUAAAUACUAAAACUUAUUUCCUUUGUUUUUUAAUAUUGAAUCGUUUUUUUUCUCUUUUCCCUUUCUUCUUCUCCUUCUUUUCAUCUUAUUUCCCUUCUGCAGCAAAUCUUAGCCGUUCAUCGCCGCCGAUAGCUUUCCCCUAACACUGGAACUGGAGCAAUUCACCCCAUCGGAUCAGCAACAAUGGUUCUUUGUUAAUAAUUAAGCCGAGAUAACCAAUAUUCUUUAUUUAGAUCUACUUCGAUUCCAGCAUAAGGUGGAUUUGCCUAGAGUUGUAGAUACGAUGCUUUUAUGUGAAGUAGGAAUGCCUUGGAUUGAUAGUCCGUUUAGCAUGAACAAGCAAUUAAAAAGUAAGUUUGUUGUAAAGCUUUUCGUGUGUGAUUUUCCCCUAAAAUGCCCAUUAAUUAGUGACUGUUAUUGUUUAUAAAAGAUCUAUCUGCAAAUUCUUUAGUAAUUGUUUUUCAAAUUUUCUAGUAAUGAUAUAACAUUUCCAUUAACAUUCACUUCGGGAUGAUCAUAGAGUUGAUUAAUCAAUUCAAUUUUCAAACAACCUUGAGAAUUUUGAAGUAAUCGUUCCUCAUUGUUCAAAAUGGUUCUCUUUCAAAGCUACCUAAUUUAAGACAUUUUGAAUGAUUCGUAAGCACAAUUUUAAAAUUGUCAUUUCAUAGAUGAAUGUUUUGCCCCAAAAUGUCUUUAUUUGACCCCAGCUUAGAGAAUCCUCAUGUUCUACUUUAUUUUGGUUGAUUAAUUGAAUUUUUUAUUUUCAUUUAUAUUACCAGAAAAUUAGCUAGAAAUGGAGAAGUCCUGUAAUCUUCUUAUUCACUUUGACAAAGGCACACUUGCAAUUGCUAAUGCGAUUAAAGAAGCACCUGAAGGAAAUGGCCAAAUUUGAUGAAAAGGCCCAUUUUAAAGAAAAAUUAGGGAAAUGAACUAGUUUCUCUUAUAUUUAGGGGAAUGAGUAAACUUUGUAGGACGCAGUUUUGGUCCAAUGGAUAAAUAUAGUAUCUUAUUUUUUUUUAUUUUAUGUUGUUUAAAGUUUUUUUUAAUUUAUGUUUUUAAUUAAUAAUAUAUUGUUUUCAAAUUUUUUUAUUUUUAAUUCAUCUUUUUAAUUAAUAAAUCUUUUAUUUAUAAAACAAAAUUAUUACAAAUUAUAUAAUAAAAAAUAUAUUUUUAAUAAAAUUGAUAUUAUGUCAAAUAUAUUUUAUUUUUUAAAAACAUCAACUAAUUAUUUUCAUAUAUUUUUCUUUAUAUAUAAUAUUUAUAUGUCAAAUAUUUAUUUUCUCCACAUAUAUUGUAGGUAAGGUGAUUUCUAAUAUUAUAAAAUCAAAUAAUUAUUUCAAAUAUCAUUAUUAUUUUUAUAUGUAAAAUAUUUCAAAUAUCAUUGUCUUUUUAUCUGCAUUGUGGGUGGUUCGGGAAAAAAUCGCACCAUGGAUAAACUUUGGGAAAAUUAAUAAGUUUUCUUGCUUUGAAGAGUCACACGCCCGUGUGGGUGUGGCCGUGUGGUCACACACGCUCGUGUGGCUUGGAACAUGCCCGUAUCCUUAGCUCGUGAAACUCUCUGUUUAUGACAUUAGUAAAAUAAUUUAUACCACACGGCCAGGCCACACACCCGUAUACUCGGUCGUGUCCUCUACACGGUUGAGACACAUGGCCUUGUCUCUGCUCGUGUAGCUAACAGUUAGGCUAUUUUCCAAGCCUUAUGUUGACCUUAUUUUUCGCCCAUACUUUUACACAUCAUAGGCACAAAUUAUAACAUCAAUUUAAUGUUUAAUCAACCUUUGGUGAAAUUCAAUUAAAUAACUUGCACGUUGUCAUACAUGUGUUUAUUACCCAACACUUAAUCUCUACACAUUCAACAAUUGUCCAUGUUCAAUCAUUAUCAUCUUACUACCAUGCCACACAUUCACUCCAUGGCCACGACCAUCUCGAAUCGUCCUGGGGCAUUCAUCAUGUACAUGUGGCAUAUACUUCUCAUACAUAGUGAAUAAGCAUAAACACAUAACCACAUCACAAGACAUUAACACAUACCAUGUACAGAUAGGCUUACAAGCCAAAAUCAUUAUAAGCCACAUCUCAUGGCUAUAUACAAUGAAUUAAUAUAAGCCAAUAUCUUGGCCAAAACAUAAAAACACAUAUCAAUAAUUAAGUCCCUAUACAUGCCACUCACUUGAAGAAAUUAAGUUUCAACAAUACUCUAAAGAUGGUAUCUUGAUAGUGUGAGGUUGCCUCCAACGAUCUCCAACCCCGAGCUGACCUGAGGAUACUAAAAGAAAUGGAAGGGGGAGUAAGCUUUAUGCUUAGUAAGUCCAUAUGAAAAUAAUAAGCAUUAUAACAUGUUUCCUUAGGUAAAACAACUAUAAUUAUACUUUUGUUCAUAUUCUGGUCAAGCUAUCUACUCGAGUCAUAGUUGAUAAAUUAUUUAUAUCUUGAGCUACAGGACUCUAGAUUAAGAUCCGUUAAUUUUCCCUAAAACUAGACUCAUUUUUAUUCUUACAAUAAAAUUUUCAAAAUUUUUGGUCUAGCAAAUAAGUACAGUUUAUUAUUCAAAGUUUCCCCUAUUUUGCUAUUCGACAACUUCGACCUUUCUUCACUAAAAUUUAUUUAUCUCAUAGUACGAGACUUGGAUAAUGUUCUCAUCUCUUUCUCCUUAAAGUAAACUCAUUAAGGAUUUCAUUCAUAUGAUUCCUAACUCAUAAUUAUUUUUUUAAAAUUUCUAGUGAUUUUCCAAAAUUAAGAGAGGGGAGUUUGGAAUCACUCCGAUUCUGUCUCACAAGAAUUCAAAUAUCUCGUAAUACAAAAUUAUUUUGUUUACACUGUUUCCUUUAUGUGAAACUAGACUCAUUAAAAUUUAAUUUCAUAUAUUAUUCAGUCUCUAAUUCGACUUCCACCAUUUAUGGUGAUUUUUCAAAUUCGGGCUACUGCUACUAUUCAACACUGUUUCGGUGCAAAAUCACAAUAGCUAUCAUAAAUUCAUUGUCACAUUGAUCAUGGACUCAUUAUUUCAUAAAUCCCAUAUUCUUACACAAUGUAAGUUAACAUGAUAUUGCAACACAAUUCAUAAUCAUAAGCAUAAGGAUGGUUCAUGUUUCAAAUCUUUUCACUUGUUCAUCAUGUAUACACAUACAUAUGCAUGAAUUCGCUUACUCAUUAUUUAUCACAUUUCAAUAAGGCAUCACUUAUGAGUAUAAUGUACGUACCUGUACAUAUCCAUAGCAUAUCAAUUAACUUUACCUUUAUCACCUCAUCCAUCUCGAGACUUUCAUCGCAUUAUUCUUUAUAAUACCCGUUGAAUUUCUCAAAAAUCUCGAUGGAUAAACCAUUUACCGUCAAGUCAUGCAAGUGAUCAUCUCAAUUACGCACUCCCACGAAUCUCACAUCUUACGGUGGGAUUACCAGUCCAGGCUAAAUCCUCCGUACUAUAAACUCAUGGAGUGAUGUCGGAAUUACCAGUCUAGGCUAAAUCCCUUGUAGCGACAAACGCUCUUAAUGAGCUCGGAUCUGAAUUACCAGUCCAGGCUAAAUUCAGACCCUAAUUGGAUUACCCGUCCGAGCUAAAUCCUUAAUGCACACAUAUUCUUCAGGAGGCUCGAUCACUCAAGGAACACCCGUCCGGGCUAGAUCCUUUCCAUAUUUGAGAUCAACGAAUUACCCAUUCAGACUAAAUCCUUUUCUACAAAACAUGCAGGAUCUCAAGUCAUGUAAGCCAUGGUUUAUCCAUUGGAUUUCCCUUUUUAUUCAACCGGGAUUUUUUCUUUUCAUCAAGUAUCUCAUUAUGCAUAGCUGAUCAUGCAAUGUACAUCCAAUUCAACACAUUUCCAUGUUUAUUUAGACAUUAGUCCAUGAAAUAAACAUGGUAUUGCAUAUAAUUAUAUUUAGGCAUUUGUUACAAUAUAAAAGUUUCAUAUCAACUAAAUAAAUAUCCAUCACACGAUACUAACACAUCAAUUUAAAUUCAAGUAUAAACAAUAAUAUCAUUGCAUUGUCAUUGACAUAUGAACUUACCUCGGUUUCGAGUACGACUAUUUAUUUCGAGUUUGUGCUUAACCUUGUUCAACCUUGUUCUAAGCCCAAAUCUUGUUUCCUUGAUUUUUGAGCUUGGAAGCUUGAAAACCCUAACCAUGUCUUCUCCCAUGCAAUAUUUGGCCAUAGGUAGAAGAUAGACAAGAAAUUUUGUUUUUAUUUUGUCUUUUAGUCCAUUUAAUGGCCAAAUGACCAAAAUGCCCUUUUAGCCUUUCUUUGAAAUUUUAUCCAUCCAAGCCCAUUUUUGUCCAAAAUUUUAGAACUUGGUCAAAUUUCUAUUUAAGACCCUCUAAUUAAAAAUCCAAUUCAAUUUCAUACUAAAAACUUCUAGAACUAAUAUUUUUUAAUUUAUUCAAUUUAGUCCCUGAAGUCAAAUUGGACACUUUUCACAUAAAAUUUCUUCAUGAAAUUUUCACACAAGCAUGUAAACAUAUCAUAGACCUUAUAAUAAUCAUAAAAUAAUUAUUUCUACUUCAAAUUUAUGGUCUCGAAACCACUGUUCUGACUAUGGCCUAAUUCGGGAUGUUAUAGGAAGCUUGUCAAAGCUAUAUCACACUAUCCACUGGCUCUUUUGGUAUUUUUUAUUGUUAAAUUUUGGUUAUAAUGGCAUGUAUAGUUAUUUUGUCUUAUGUUGGUCUAUAUUUUUUGUUGUGAAUAUGGCCAUUUGACUUGAUUGAGUUUUGGUAUUUUGAUAAGCUAAUGGUUUAGUUUGACAUGUAUGUGAAUAGCUUUAUUAUGAAUGAUGGUAUUAUAGUUCAAAUAUGUAAAUGAUAAGUGUCAAUAUGAUGUAGAUGAAUAUGGUGUUUUGGUGCACUAGACAUAUAUGAAUUAUGUGACUAUUUGGGGCUAAUUCUUGUAUGAUAUAAUUGGUACCUUUUUGGUAUGUUUUUGAAAGGUAAAACAAGUGACAUAAUAUGAUAUAAACUUGGUCAAGCCUUUGUUGAACAAUUUAUCAAUGCAUGUUCACAUUUGUAUAUGUUUUGAUAUUGUCAUUGAGGUCUUAAGGGCAUAUUGGUUGUAUAAAGUUAGACCAUAUGUAUAUAUCUUGUUUAUGAUUGAUUUGGAUGCCUUAUUAUGGAUUUGUUAUAUAUAUGCAAAGUUGGUUAUAGGUACAUGAAAAAUUUGGUAAGAAAAAUGGCUUGUAAAAUGGCCUAUCUUUGUCCACACGAGCAGAGACACGGGCGCGUGUCUCAGCUAUGUGUCACACGUGGCUAGGUGACACGGCAAUGUGUCCCCUAUAGCUUUCAAAGGGUUGCAAGUCAGGAUGUUACACGGCCUAGCACACGGGCAUGUGGAGUUACUUUGAAGUGUACGCGGCCUGGCACACGGGCAUGUGACUUGGCCGUGUGACCCAAGUCAGUGAGUUACACUGGUGAGUUACACUGGUACAGACAUGGGCUGGGAUACGGCCUUGUGUCUUAUUUUGAAUGCCCACACGGCUUGAGACAUGGGCUUGACUCUUGACCGUGUGAGUCACACAGCCUGGCCACAUGGCCAUGUGAGUCAUAUGGUGACCCUUGCAAUGUUGAAAAUUUUUACUAUUUUUUGAAAAAUUUCCUAAGUUUCUAAUUUAGUCCCGACUUAUUUCUAAUGCAUAUUUAGGGCCUCGAAGGCUCGUAUAAGGGACAAUAUGUAUAACUUGACUUGGUUUUAAUAUGCUUAUUCAUAUGUUAUGAAAUGUUUGAAUUUUUCUAUUUGUUUGAAUUGUAAACUCCGGUAAUGCUCCGUAACCCUAUUCUGAUGACGAAUACAGGUUAGGGGUGUUAUAGGUUUGUGGGCCUCUUUUGACGGGGUGGACAUUAGGGUGUACUGUACACAUCAAGAGGAUCGAUAGUUGGACCGAAUGUGGCUUGAGCCGGGGUAGAGUACAUGUUAUCACCAAACAAUUAAAUGAUAUCGAUGGUUGCUUUGGGUGAUAUGAACUCGAAUUGCCCAUCUCCGGGUGAUAUGAACUGCUUUAGACCCCUCACAAAAAGCCUGAACACACUGGUCCGAUAAAGUGCGUGUGUUCAGACGUUGGUCCUUUGGGUUGAGCUCCACCAUAUGUUGGUCCUCCCGGUCAGGUUCCACCAAAUGUUUAUCAUUUGAGUCGAGCUCCACCAUAGGUUGACUUCCACGCCUGUAGCCAUGAUCCGGUACUAUCAUAAAUUAUCCACCAUAUAAAUAAAAAUGCCUUCGGGUCAUGAACCACUGCAUGUAUUCAGUCGAAGGACUAAAGUCAAACAUACAGGAGUGCAUCUGAGGCUGCUUGUCAUACCGGGCAUUCCAUAGUGUUAUAUAAUGCUGGUGCUCUACAAUCCAAUGUGCUCCAUCUUUUCCCCACAUGGUCUUACUGUGGACAUCAGCAAAUUGUUGUGGAUAGACCAACACAAAUUUUCUACACCCAAACUAUUGCACAACCUGAUCAAUGUUAUAUCACUCAAUGGUUGAGAAGUUAAGCAUCGGCCUGUUAAUGCACCAUACAUGGGCUUCGGCAUGAACCCAUUAAGGAAUAAGGGUUGCAAUGUUC